UUACAGCUUCAGAUCUGCUGUUGUAUGGGACCCACCGAUAUUUGGUGCAGGAUGUAGAAACAUCUAUAAAUAGGAUCAUGAACCAAUCAUGAAAGGAAGCAUACCUGGAUCCAUAAGCAAUCUGAUGAACGAUCAAGUCCUUCUUCGUAUCUCCCUCUUGGCCCUACGUUAAUGACACCCACGAUGGCUGGUUCUGUGUCGAUUUGUAGGGCCAAGAGGGUGAGACCCAUAAGCCUUAUCCUUCCAUCAAGGAUUAAGGGAGUUUCCACUUCUCUAGGAGUCAGUUACGGGAUUCAUUCUGUAACUGACCACGUUGUGGUCAUGUGGGUCAAAACCCAACAUUCUCCCACUUGGCCCAUAUGACCAUACUUUAGUUAGAAUGAUAUAAACAUUAGGCGCGCAUCAUUCUAAUCCAUAGUCACUUGGGUCAUCAUAAUACCAUAAUUAAACAACUUACUAAUGCGAGUCAAGACGGUUCCACAUCAACAUAAUGACAUAGUUCCUUUCAAGUACUACAACACUAGCAAAUUAUUUAACCACAGUCCAUAAAUGAGAAGUAUCUUUAAUGGUCAAACAUUAUGUCUUUGUCAGAGACAAUUCCUGUAAUCAUACAUUCAAACCCAUACAUGUACAUAUAUUUGAAGAACAGGAAAAACAGAAACAUAAUUAAUUAUAUCUAAGUGUCGAAGAAAUAAACAUAAUACAAUCCUCAAUUAAUAUCAUGGAUUACAACUAAGACCCAUUCUUUCAACAUGCUCUUUAAAAGUCUUCGGUUGUAAACCUUUCGUCAAAGGAUCUGCAAUCAUGAGCUCUGUCCUCAUAUUUUC
This 827-nucleotide long non-coding RNA is filed under the name Phoenix dactylifera (date palm). Its description in RNAcentral is "long non-coding RNA (PDAC_LNC017466)". The record is from RNAcentral. Lineage: Eukaryota; Viridiplantae; Streptophyta; Magnoliopsida; Arecales; Arecaceae.